Molecule: long non-coding RNA, 2475 nt
Organism: Triticum aestivum (bread wheat)
Lineage: Eukaryota; Viridiplantae; Streptophyta; Magnoliopsida; Poales; Poaceae
Exons: 10
Source: RefSeq, a predicted model, not a curated record
UAGCCUGGGGUCUCCGCACCAGCCCCUUCUCUCUUUGACGGCGCCGCCUCCUCUCCUCUCUCUCGAUUCCCUUCGCGCCGCCGCACCUGCUCCGGGCUCCUCCUCUUCCGGGCUUCCCCGUGCCGUCGGCCUCCCUCGUCUGCGUCUUUCCUCGUCGGUCGUUGCUCCGAGUCGCGGACCUCCUCGCUGCGGUUGCAGUGGCCGAACAAGAUGAAGAGGAGCUGCAGAGUCGGGUCCAUGCAGCGGCCUCCUCCCCACGGAGGUCAGAAGAGGAAGAUGUGCUCUUCCAUGGUUUCAAGAGGAGGAGACGCUUCUCCUACCAGAUCAGUGGCCAUCACGUCUCCAUCGACGUCGCCGAGCUCCAUGGCUUCCUCGUCUCCUUCUCAGGCGGGCGAUGGUGCACGAUAUGGCCAGGUGUGACCUGCGCAAGCAGCACCACUGAUGAGGCACAUGUUGUGGGCUAGCAGCGAUUGGAGGGGACGCCGUUGCAGAUCCUCAUUGUUUCUCUGGGAGAGGAGCACGUCGACGAUCUAUUUUUUCCCCAUAGAUUCGCGAUGGAGGUGCUCGAGGAGGAGCUUCUUCUCUAGACGCCAUGCAAAUCGUCCAGGAGAGGAACACGCCGCUGAAGAACUCGGCAUGGAGGAUCUGAAACCUCACAAGGAAGAAGGAGGUGAACCAUUGUUUAACACGGAUAUGCACAGGCGUGUGGAUGUGCACUGCCCCUGAAUGUGAAGAGCUAUUCAAGAUGUUGCAUUUUUGGUGGAGUUCAAUGCAUCGGCUAGAGGAGGAUGCCGCGACAGGUUAAACUCCUCUGCCGUUGCAGAGCAGUCCACUGUGCCGUCACCGUCAUCCUUGCCUUCGAGCCAUCUGUGACGCUGUCGCCAUCGCUUAGCCCUUCGCCGCGGGGGACACAUAGAUGGGUGAGGAUGCCAGUAGGAAGCAGCAGCUCGCCGUUUCCUUGGUCCCCGCCAACGCCAAGCGAGAAGAGAAGCUUAUUUGGUUUGCGGUGAUUGUAAUUGACACGCAGUAGCAAGUCGGGCAUUUGAAAGGUAUCAACAGUGGACAAGAUGAUGACUCCAAUCGAUUUGGUGUGGAAGCAUGACAAAUUGAUAAAUGUUGGAAAAUAUCAGAUCACAAAGCUAGAGGCCCUUGUCCAGAUGGAGGACUUGGCUUCUUCAGUGAGGACAAAUCAAUACUACACUUCGAUUCAAUAGAGUGCGAGCUUCAUUAGGGUUUAAGUGCGUUGCUGCUGGUCGCCUCUUGUGAUUGUGUACAGCUUGCUUCUGACAUAGCCAAGAUUAAAGGAGAGGGGGGGUCAUUGCUGAUGGCUUGGAACUUUUUGGUGCAUCAUGCUAUGCGACUAAGGUCACGCUGACAGACACUUGGUGAGAUGUUUGAAGCUGCUCUUAGUAUCAUGACCUAGCUUGGAGACUGUGCCAAGGCUGAAGUUUUCUUUCUUGGGCAACUAAGGCAGAAGAACCUGGUGUAAUUGGCUGGGUAGUGCUACGAGCACGAACACCGGAUGUUGGUGUACAAAUUCAUGAGCGUUGGGAGCCUUGAGACGCACCUCUUCAAAACUUCUUGGUACUUGCAAGUUAGUACAACUCUUGGUCAAUGUGGAGGAAACUGACCUGAAACAUCCUAUUUCCUUGACGUAUAAAUGGCUCCCUCCUGCGGAUGAUAAGGAUGAAGAUCGCCGUCAGCCCAAGGGCCUUAACUUUCUCCAUGACGCCAACCUGCCGGUGAUCUACAAGCAGGCCUUCAACAUCUUGCUCGACUAGUGCAAGCUGCAGGGUCAGUCUGAGCCUUCACGAGCUCGACAUCGGGGCCAGCACUCUACAUACUUAUCGACGCCGUGUAGUACCAGGAGGAGCAGAUGUGAAAAGCGGUGCAAAGUGUGCCUUAUGAUGCUUGGAACUGUGCAUCUACUUUUCGCCAGUGCAUGGUUCUUUUGAACCACCUCUCUUUGUAGUCAGUCAUUUAAGCUGCAAGAAUGCUGCAUCUCUGUUCAUAUAAGCUUAUCCAUAUAUAUGAUGCCCCUGUCUUUGCACACCUGAUGUGUUUUAUGAAUGUGCACUGCGCCAACAAUGCAUUUUUACUGUUGUAACUUAUUUUUCCCAUCAAUAAGAUGGUACUGUCACUUGGGUUGGAUUGCUCUGCUUUCUAGAAUUUAGAACGUUAUAUAAGUUGAACAACAGUUGCAUGAAAAGGACAUAGCAUAGUGACGCCUCAGGAGCAACAGCAAGAUUGGUGCGCCCAGUCAGCAGAGGAGGCGCGCCCCUGCCACUAGUAUGCAAUCAAAAGUGGUGGCAUCCCUGAGCUCAGAUCCUUGGUCAACGAUGCAGGGAGCACAUCGUGUCAUAAUAAUGAAGAAAAGAGGCCCGCGCCCACCGAAAGGAACUCACGCGCGGAGGUAGUAGUACGAAGCAGUACGCGUCCGAUCGCGUCUCCGUCUGUACCCCAACGCCAACCCAA